GCCAGGCUCAAUGGCACACGCCUGUAAUCCCAGCAGUUGGGAGGCUGAGGCAGGAGGAUCACAAGUUCAAAGCCAGUCUCAGCAAAAGCGAGGCGCUAAGCAACUCAGUGAGACCCUGUCUCUA
RNAcentral lists this small RNA (124 nucleotides) under Marmota monax (woodchuck). Lineage: Eukaryota; Metazoa; Chordata; Mammalia; Rodentia; Sciuridae. The record is from RNAcentral.